CCUACGGGCGGCACCAGUGGGGAAUUUUCCGCAAUGGGCGAAAGCCUGACGGAGCAAUGCCGCGUGGAGGUAGAAGGCCCACGGGUCGUGAACUUCUCUUCCCGGAGAAGAAGCAAUGACGGUAUCUGGGGAAUUAGCAUCGGCUAACUCUGUGCCAGCAGCCGCGGUAAUACGAAGGGGGCUAGCGUUGUUCGGAAUUACUGGGCGUAAAGCGCGCGUAGGCGGAUAGAUAAGUCAGAGGUGAAAUCCCGGGGCUCAACCCCGGAAUUACCCUUGAUACUGUUUAUCUUGAGUGCAGAAGAGGUAAGUGGAAUUCCGAGUGUAGAGGUGAAAUUCGUAGAUAUUCGGAGGAACACCAGUGGCGAAGGCGGCUUACUGGUCUGCAACUGACGCUGAGGCGCGAAAGCGUGGGGAGCAAACAGGAUUAGAUACCCCAGUAGUC
RNAcentral lists this ribosomal RNA (442 nucleotides) under uncultured bacterium. RNAcentral's name for it is "bacterial SSU rRNA". It matches the Rfam family "Bacterial small subunit ribosomal RNA", at positions 338 to 795 of the family's 1533-position model. The record is from RNAcentral.